This 394-nucleotide ribosomal RNA is filed under the name uncultured bacterium. RNAcentral describes it as "bacterial SSU rRNA". It matches the Rfam family "Bacterial small subunit ribosomal RNA", at positions 28 to 423 of the family's 1533-position model. The record is from RNAcentral.
GACGAACGCUGGCGGCGUGCUUAACACAUGCAAGUCGAGCGGUAAGGCCCUUUCGGGGGGUACACGAGCGGCGAACGGGUGAGUAACACGUGGGUGACCUGCCCUUAGCUCUGGGAUAAGCCUGGGAAACUGGGUCUAAUACCGGAUAUGACUCCAUGACGCAUGUUGUGGGGUGGAAAGCCUUGUGCGGCUAGGGAUGGGCCCGCGGCUUAUCAGCUUGUUGGUGGGGUGAUGGCCUACCAAGGCGACGACGGGUAGCCGGCCUGAGAGGGCGACCGGCCACACUGGGACUGAGACACGGCCCAGACUCCUACGGGAGGCAGCAGGUGGGGAAUCUUGCGCAAUGGGCGAAAGCCUGACGCAGCGACGCCGCGUGGGGAGUGACGGCCUCGGU